RNAcentral lists this ribosomal RNA (1257 nucleotides) under uncultured fungus. Its description in RNAcentral is "eukaryotic LSU rRNA". The stretch from base 622 to 1257 matches the Rfam family "Eukaryotic large subunit ribosomal RNA", at positions 1 to 649 of the family's 3401-position model. The record is from RNAcentral. Lineage: Eukaryota; Fungi.
GUCGUAACAAGGUUUCCGUGGGUGAACCUGCGGAAGGAUCAUUAAUUAAUCGCGAAAGGGGCCGGGUUGCCCUACACCCCUUCUGGGGGGUGAUAUGGUGGGCAACUGGCCCCGCUUUUGAUUAUAUCCCAUCUGUGAACUUUUCCACUGUUGCUUCCGUGAGCCUGUACUUUGCUCUCUUUGAGAGUUGGAGUACCUGAAAAGCCCUGGUUCUACCAGGGGCGCACGGCAAUGGUACCACAACUCUGGUUUUAUGCUGUAUAAGUCUGAGUGGUUAACACACAAACAAGUUAAAACUUUCAACAACGGAUCUCUUGGUUCUCGCAUCGAUGAAGAACGCAGCGAAAUGCGAUAAGUAGUGUGAAUUGCAGAAUUCAGUGAAUCAUCGAAUCUUUGAACGCACAUUGCGCCUCCUGGUAUUCCGGGAGGCAUGCCUGUUCGAGCGUCAUCAAACACAUCCUCAAGCAUUUUUGCUUGGUCCUGGAGGAAGANGGUCUCUCGACUAUCCCCUCUGGAAUUCCUCAGCAGAGACGACAGCAGCCUCAGGUGUGAUAAUUCUACCUCGCUUGAGUGUUACUGUGGGCUCCCGCUGGAGAAUAGCCCCCCAGCUUUUACCAUGUUUGACCUCGGAUCAGGUAGGGAUACCCGCUGAACUUAAGCAUAUCAAUAAGCGGAGGAAAAGAAACCAACAGGGAUUGCCUUAGUAACUGCGAGUGAAGCGGCAAAAGCUCAAAUUUGAAAUCUGGUACCAUUCGGUGCUCGAGUUGUAAUUUGGAGAGGCAACUUCGGAGAGGGCGUUGGCCUAAGUUCCUUGGAACAGGACGUCAUAGAGGGUGAGAAUCCCGUGCUUGGCUGACUGUCCCUCUUCAUGUGAAGUGUCUUCGACGAGUCGAGUUGUUUGGGAAUGCAGCUCAAAAUGGGUGGUAAACUCCAUCUAAGGCUAAAUAUUGGCGAGAGACCGAUAGCGCACAAGUAGAGUGAUCGAAAGAUGAAAAGCACUUUGAAAAGAGAGUUAAAAAGUACGUGAAAUUGUUGAAAGGGAAGCGCUUGAGACCAGACUCGGUGAUAGGUGAUCAGCGGUUGCUUUUGCUCCGUGCACUUGCCUUUUACCGGGCCAGCAUCAGUUACAGCGGUGGGAUAAAGGCUCAGGGAAUGUGGCUCCCUUCGGGGAGUGUUAUAGCCCUGGGUGUAAUGCCACCUGUUGUGACUGAGGACCGCGCUUCGGCUAGGAUGCUGGCAUAAUGGUCUUCAGCGACC